UCAUCCUCUUUUGCUGAAGAAGAAGAAAAAAAGAGGAGGACUGUUGCCAUCGCCGCCUCGUUGGUGGCCGUCGCUCUGGUGCUCGUCCUCGUGGCCAUCGUCGUCGUCAUCAAGUGUCAUCCACGCAAAGCAGACGAUUACGCACCAGCGAGUGCCGAAGUGCCGAGCUCGCCGAAAAGGUCAAAAGCGGUGCAAAACACAGCGGCCGGCGCAACACCGUGACAACGUUUCAUGGACACGAUAAAGAACUUAUGCCUCUGGGUUUUGUGAUCAUGUCUGUCUGCACAUGUUGCUCCAAGGUCUGCUCCAAGGGCCACAGCAGCUAUCCAUGCUAAUCGUUGGGCCACAACGGCGGUUUCCAUUAUUUGUGAGCCUUCAGCUAUCGGUGUCUUUCUGAAAGAAAAGUUGUUUGUUUAUUUUAAACACACAAAAUGCAA
Molecule: long non-coding RNA, 437 nt
Organism: Hippocampus comes (tiger tail seahorse)
Lineage: Eukaryota; Metazoa; Chordata; Actinopteri; Syngnathiformes; Syngnathidae
Exons: 3
Source: RefSeq, a predicted model, not a curated record